UCAUCCUACACAGGUUGGAAAGUGAUCACUUGUUUAGGAAACUUCACUCUGUCUACAUGAUCACAACCACUGAGAGGUUUACUUAAACCGAUAGUGGAAUUAGGGACUGAGAGGCAAGGAUAAGAGAAACACAUUACAUUUAAAGCAGCAUCUAGUUAGCAGCUGCCUGAUGUAGCUUUCCCCAACUCCCCACUAAAAUACAUACAGACACAGAAAAAGAUUAAAAACCCUAAGUCAUUCAGUCAUGCAAAAAAUAUUCAUCUGACAAGCACUGAGUAAAUAGUCACCGCUUUCAAGGAAUUUCUGGUGCAGUCACUAAACCCAACUCUGUCUUAGUUAACUAUUGCUGCGUAACAAAUUACCCCACAACUUGGGAGCGUAAAACAAUAUUUAUUCUUGUGGGUCAGAGUCCAGCCAGGGCUUAGCUGGGUGCCUGGUUCUGGGUCUCUCACAGAGCUGUAGUCAUCUCAAGGCUCAAGUGGAAGGAUCUGCCUGCUUCCUCGCUCAUGUGGUUGCUGGUGGGAUUCAGCUCCUCAGUGGUUGUUGGACUGAGGAUCCCCGGGUUCUUUGAGGACCCCUUUGGUACCGGGCUCCAUUUCUCUGUUGUGGUGCUGGAGGCUCUUCGCGAUCAAAGCCUAGGUGUGAACGUCCUAACGCUAGCCUUCCUUCUUCAUUUACUAACCGCAGCACUCCUACGAAGAGAAACUUCCCCGCAGUCUGCAUUUGGUUUCUCAGUGAUAGAGUUCAUACAGGAAAGGCAACAUAAAUGCUUGAUUUCUUACCUUUAUUUAUCAAUUUUCGAAAUAAUAAUUUGGUCUCUAGUAUCCUCCCACAGAGACCAAUUAGGGCUUUGGGGUGGGUUGGGGUGGGGGAUGUUGUGAAUGCAUGAAUUUAAUUAUUUGAUGUGUUUCAAUCCAUUGCAGUUAUCCCCACUGAUGCUCAAAUUAUCCAUCAUCAGCCAGUGGAAGCCCCUUCCAUUGGUUCCCGAAUCCUUUUAAUGCAUAAUCCUCACUACCUAGUGCCAAAAGAUGUUCAGGUUGAUCUUGUAUAUUUCCCACUCAGACCUGGACUCAGCCAUUUCUCCUCGAAGCUCUGGUUCUUUUUAAUGGAAAAGGAAUUAAAGUUGUUAUGUACCAUAUGGGGUCACAGAAUCAAAGACCCGGGCCGUAGGUGUUGAAGGAGAUGUCACCUUGGUGAGCAAAGCUAUACUAGAAUCUGCUAGAACUCAGAAUUCCACUGGGCACUAUUCACACCAACCUCCUCUCAAGCUGUUGAUCUAAGAAAAGGAUGCUAUUAUCUCCCAAGCAGAGAGCGUGGGGCCAAGCUGACGGCUUUGUUUCAUUCAAUCCAAGUAAGUAAAAUGAGAAAAAAAUGGAGCCCAUGGAAAAAGGCUACUGAGUAAGAGAAAGGACAAAUCCUUUCCUCCCUAAAGAACAAGAGGAAGGGACAAGUCCCUGAAAAUGCAGAUCACUGCAGGAAGAAAGUGCCGGGACGUCAUUCAGCAUCCUAAAUAGGGUGGAAGGAGAGACGUCUUUCACAAAACACGAGCAGACAGCCGCAGGAUGAAAACAAGCUGAGGAGAAAAAGAACAAAAUAAAUAGAAAAGUAGAUGCAUGAGAUAAGGAAUUCUAAGGUAAAAUUAAAAACACAAGAGCAAAAUUACGAUCAGACUCUGCAUCGACAUAUAUAAUACGGUUGUUUUCACGUAACAAUAUAUGAGAACUAUCUUUCCAUAUGUCAUUAAACAUUUUUUUCACUGUGAUAUUUCCAAUGACUGGACUGCAUAGGUAAUUCAACAUAGGAAGGGCCACACUCCCUUGAACUCAACCCCUCAUGUUAGAAAAUUCAAUAUUUUCCAGGUUUUUCUGCCGUUACGAGUAAUAUGAAGAGGACAUAUUCUUGUACCUCUGUCCAUGUAUUCACCAACUAUUUAUCGAGCAUCUAAUGAUUACUGGACAUGGUGCUAGGUGCUGGGGUGCGAGGCGGUGAAAAAGAUGGACACAGUUCCCGUCUUCAUGGACCUUGCAGUACAACAGAGAAACAGGAGAAUUAAUUUGCUGACUGUUUACGACACAGAACAAGACUUGACAUACAGGGAUGGAGCAGCUCAGAGUCCAUCUGAAGGAGGCAGAAGGGGUAGCAUUUUCUGGCAUCAGAGUCGAACACAUUACAAGACCUAGGAAAUUUGGCUCUAAGAUGUCUGGCAAAGAAGCAGAAAGAAACACAGUAAGUUACAUAAUUUUCAUUGUCCAAUAAGACAAAGAAUUCUAACAUUCUUCUGUGGAGGUAGCUUUUUCUGAGGUCUAAAAUCAAGCAGGAAUUUAUUACAUGAAUCCUCGUAUAAAGGGUACUGAGGGACACUGAAGACUAUCUGUGAUACUGUGAUUCAUAAGAAAUAGUAUACAUUUGGUUUUUGUCUAGUUUCUGGCAUGGAAUUCCUAAAACCAUUGGAAUUUCCUGAGCUAUAAGAGCAAUGGCAGCAUCUUUUGUUAUAGUAUUUGGUCUCUUGUCUUCAGUUCCUGAAAUCGCUUCAGAGCCAUAAAGGUGAAAUGGGUGUCUUGUUAUUCAUAACAAACUCCCUUCAAUCACAACUGGUUUAUGUUAAUGAGGUGACUUUUGGAAACGCCCUAAAGAUAGGAGGGGGCCGGUCACCAAGGAAGCCGACCGCGUGAUUAGAGGGUUGGAACAGUCCCACCCGUGAUCUCCGGGGAGGGGAGAGGGCUGGAGACUGAGUUCAGUCAUCAAUGGCCAAUGAUUGGAUCAGUCAUACCUAUGUAAUGCAGCCUCCAUAAACAUUCAAAAGGAGGGGCUUCAGUGAGCUUCCAGGUUAGUGAACACAUGGAGCUUUGGAGAGACUGACACUCCUGGAGAGGCAUGGAAGCUGGGCUCCCCUCCCCCAUACCUUGCUCUAUGCGUCACUUCCAUCUGGCUGUUCCUUUCCUGAGUUAUAGCCUUUCAUAAUAAAUGGGUAAUCUGUAAGCAAAAUGUUUCUCUGGGUUCUGUGAGCCGCUCUAGCACAUUAAUUGAAUCCAAGGAGGGGGUCACUGGAACCUCCCAUGUCUAGCCAGUCGGUCAGAAGCCAGUCUGAAGUCGGGGGUGGCGCGGUAGGGACAGUCUUGUAGGACUGAGCCUUUAACCUGUGGGAUCUGACACUAUCUCUGGGUGGAUAGUGUCAGAAUUGAGUUGAACUGUAGGACACAGCUGGUGUCGGAGAAUGGCUUGCUGGUGUGGGGAAAAACCCCCCUCCGCACAUCUGAAUUGGGUGCUCAGACCCCUUACUAUCUUUAAACAUUUUAUAAAGAAAUCCUAUUAAGCUCAUUUGCCUGGAUGGCUCUCUAUGAACUUGCCAUAAAAGCCCCCAGCAAGGUACCUGCUCCUAACCUGGGGAAGGUUUUUAUGCAAAGAGCUGAAAGGUGGGGUCUGGGUCUCUGUCUCCUGGUCAUAUUUCUGUCUUCCUCUCAUUGGUGGAGCUCUGCCACCAGCAAGGCACUUUCAGAUCCCAUGCUGCUCCAGCUCUGCUGUGAAAGCCCCCUCACGUGAAUACGAGCUGGGGGUGGGUGAGGAGAGGUUGUAGCCCAAAAAGGCCAGCUGUAAGCUAAAAUUUCUUCGAAGAUUUGCAAUUUAUAUUUAAAAGCCAUGUGAAUUUUACAGUCUGUUUCAUAAUGUGUUAUACAUAAAAAUGUGUUUCCCCCUUAAAACUUCUAACAAAAUUGGUGCUCCAGGAAGAUGGGCUGUAUUUAUCCUACUUGAGUAUCCCUUGGCAAGCCGCCUCGGACCUCACUCCUCCCACAGACAUGCUAUGAUUUUAAUUUGAUGUUGGGACAGUACUUCCAGGGUCUAGAUUAGUAAACUGCUUCUGUCCAGUAUUAAAUGUCUUAGAACAGAACAUCAUCUAUUAGUCUAAGGUAUCGAGAGGAGGGUCUGCAUAGCUCUGGCAGACAGGUGUUCAAAUACGAGUUGACACUACCUUGUGAAUAUUUAUGAGUUGGACUUCCCGUACAGCCGGCAGAGAAAGCCAGUGUUCCACACAGGUCCAAACGUCAAGAGCAACGACAUUAGGCAAGAGCUAAUACUUAUUUCUCAGGAAAGAUAUUUUAAUCUGUAGAAUCAUGAUUGAUCACGACCUACCUGAAGGCCCAGGGAGAAGAUGCUUGGGUAGUGGACACUUGGUGGGGCUUACCUCGCUACAGUAACAAGGCUCUAAGGAACGGUUUGAAAUCUCCAACUUGGCACAGGCCCUCUGUGAGAGGAAGAAUGCUCUAAGCACUUUGCACAUUGAGUCAUUUAUUCUGUAAGCUCAGUCCCGUUCAGUUGGCCCUUUUUCCGGCUAGGAUUCCUGGGUCUUGAAAGCCUAAGGUUAGCUAAAGCAACUCUGCAGGGAGGGGUGAUGUGCAAAUCCUCUAGCUGCGUUUAGGGUUGGGCUGGACCAUCAUCUAUGUUUACAGAACGGUGGAAGGCCCAAGAUCAAUUGGAAAAAGAUGUAUCCUCCUAAAAUGGGAGGCCACAACCUCCAUGAGCAAGACUCUUGGCGUGCAGGUCAUGGGUAGGCCAGUAGCCAUCGGAAAGCUCCGUUUAACAAGGAAGAAAAUACUUCAUUGCGAGAAAGUAUCUAAAACAGAUGCUGGCCACCUCUUCCAUAGAAGAACCUCAGAAUGACCUCAGCAGUACAGCUAUUUCAAGAAAAAUUUCCUCUCAAUGAACCAUCAAAUGAGUAAGCUACAAAUUGCAUCCCAAAAGAGCUAAAAGAUUGAACUCUUUGGUACCAUUUUUAAAGAGUCAUUUAAAUACUGGCAAAACUGCUAUUUCAGACUACACAGGUUAGCCAGUGGGAAGCACCAGCAGGAGGUAAGGUUGGGUAUUUACUCCUCCAGAGCCCUCCUUGCAGGGCUGUUGGUUGGCAGUGGCUGCAUUUCUCUACAGAAGGCUAUAGUCCUGUUGAGGAGCCCUCUCCUACAGCUACAGCUCCCACCAAAUUCUGGCAACUGCUCCCUCCCCCGCCCCUUCGGCUUUAGGGGUAAAAAUGCCAACCUGAGAUGUUUCACCACCCCUUCCCGGUUUCUACUAAGCCUGACCACACUGCUGCGGAUGGUCCCUUCAUUAACCUCUAUUCAGCUCCCCUUUGGCCUGUGUCUUCUUUCCACUGCUGGCACCCUGACCCAGAGACACUCCUCACUCCAGGUCCGGCUGAGGAGGCAGCCACCAUCUGCAACUGACAAGAAAAAGAGCACCGUGGACGGUACCUUGUUGUAAAGGCUUCUUCUUGGAAAUGACACAUGAUACUUGGGUCCAUUCUUCAUAGACCAAAGCAAGUCAUAAGGUGUAUUCAUUAUGUAUUGUUGUAUAACAAAUAACCGCAAAACUUAGUGGCUGAGAGCAAUUACCACUUAUGCUGUCACACAGUUUCUGAGGGCCAGGAAUCUGGGAGUGGCUUAGCUGGGUGGUUCUGGCCCAGGGUCUCUCACAAGGCUGCAGCGAAGAUGCCAGGGCUGCAGGCAUUUGGAGGUCUGACAGGGGCUGGGGGAUCUGCUUCCAGGGCGGUUCACUAACAUGCCUGCAACUUUGGACUGGUUGUUGGCAGGAGGCCUUGGUUCCUAGCCAGUGGACCUCUCUAAAGGGCUGCUUGAGUGUUCCCAUGACAUGGCAGCCGGCUUCCCCUGGAAUGAGCAAGUCAAGAGAGAGCCCAAGAGGGAAGCCACAAAACCUUUUAUGACCUAGUCUCAGAAGUCAGACACUAUCACUUCCAGAAUAUCCUAUUCAUUCUAAGUGAGUUAUUAACUCUAGCCCAUAUCAUAUGGGCAAAGCUAAACUUCAUCUCCAGAAGGGAAGAGUAUCAAAAAACACAUGGAUAUUUUAAAACCACCACACAGGCCUACACCUAACUUCAAAGCAUACAAUGUGGCCGGAAGAUGAAGCUCAAACAUUUGGCGAAUAGUACUAAUGACUGGAAGAAUCCCAGGAGAUUUUAUUGGCCACUUAAGAAUUAAAAUCUGGAUCCAAGUUUUACCAUUGUGUUUGAUUUAUGAAUCUUUGCUAUAUGAAUCUUGGGGUCAUGGUGUUGAAAUAGAAUUUGAUCCCAAUCCAGAAAUCCCUAGGAGUGGGAAGAGGGACAGCCCAACAGCCAGACUUCCUUGAAAUGAUAAGUAAUUCCCAGGGCUAAUCCCCUCUGGGAAGAAGAGAUUCUUUACGUAAGAAAAUGAAUUAUUACAUGAGGCCCUAGGCAGGCAGGAGUGGGGAAAUCCAGUUCUUUUCAUGAGCCUCAUUGUGCUGACCUUGAACUUCCCUGGUGGGGGGAGCCAAGGUGGUGUCCACCCUGUGGAGCUGGGAGGUCUGGAGUCAGAGAGAGGGACUUCUGGAGAGAGUCACAAAAUAAACCCUGGCUUGUGAGCCAACUUCCCUCUUCCAUAUUACUCUUUGUGUUCAUUUCUCAUUUGUAUGUCCUAAGGUUUUGAUAAAACCUAUUUGAGCGGGCUAGUCUUGUCCCAGAAGUCCAGAUCAUGAGACAAAGGUGAUGUAUCAAGGGGGGAGCAGCGUGUGGGAGGCAGGAGUAGCUGAAGAGAGACUCAUGGGGAGAAGUCAGGCUCAAGCUCCAAGUUGGAGCCACACGGUCCAGCUCUCCCCACCAAGAGACUCUGCUCUCAUGACUAGACAUAGAAAUUCUGGGUUGUAUUUUAUUAAGACAUCCAGUAUUUCCUUACUACCAGCUACCCCCAAUCUGCUUGACCCCGCAACCUCAGCUGUCAACACAGCAGCCCAGAAAUCUAGGCAAUACUAAGAUCUUGGGCAGUGGGUGCAGAUGCCCAACGAUGUAUUUGUGAGGGAGUUGUGCAAUCAUUUCCAGACCUAAGACCUGAGGCAGAAGAAAUGGAAGAGACUUCCAGUCAGGGCAAGAGGUCCAAGAGAGUCAGAGAGAGUUUCUCUAUCUGAUGGAGCCGAGGCCCUGCAGGGAAAUGAAAACGCUUUCCACCUUUGAAGUCUUCCCCAGGACCUGGGUGAACUUCUGGUGAGCGUCUCUCCCCCCAGCAAAGCAAGGUCAUAGGAACAAACAACACAACACCUCAUGCCGUGCCUGCUCCACAGCGGCCUUUGGACUGUGGGCUCGUGGCGGCGUUCCAGCCGUGGAGAGGCAACGCAGACCCGGGUCAGGAUUUGCUGGGGCACCAGGCAUCGAUUGUACCUGUAUGAUGAACAAGCAUGGUUUGUGACUAAAACUUUAUUUUUCUGUCUCCCACUACCCUUUAAACUUUAUUCAGUGAGGAAACUUUUCUUCUGCUACUGGAUGAAAACUCAGGAGGCCUCAUGAUUUUUGGGUGCUCAGUUUUAGGUAACAGAGAGCCUUGCAGUCACUUUAGGUCAGAAGGACAAUCUCAUUCAGUGGUUAUAUAGUGGGCUUUCCUUAAAGACUCUUCAGUCUCCAUUUGAAGGAAAGUCUCCCUCUCUCACAGCCGAGGCUUGCAGUUGGUGCUACCAUCUCUGGGAAAGUCUUCUUCCAACCCAGUCCCCUGGCCUCCAUCCCAUAGCGGCUCUUUCCACCAUCACCAGAUGAGGGAAAGGGCAGGCAAUGAGGUAAGGGGUCUGGUCUCACGCUGCUUGCCUGGACAGCUUUGCGCUCUCUGGGCUGACAGAGAAUUAAAGCUGACUCCCUGUCGUGGGUGCUUUCAUGGAUGGCUCAGAGACUCCCACCCCAGGACUUUCCUCCCAGUUCCCUUGACCCACGUGAUGCAUCUGUAUUCUGGAUGGUCACUUGUGACAUCUUUACUUCCAGCUUCUUACUGGGGCCCCACAGGCUAACUCCUCCGUGUGGCCCACUUCUGAUCCAUGGGAAACACACUUGUCUUUGUUCCAGUGAAGUCUGGGAUGACCCUAAGAUACCAGCAAGCUCCUAGCUCUGCCCCCAAAUCCCUGAAUCAGUGCAUCUGUCUGUCCUACUCCAGAGAAGGGAAUCAGACCCCAGGCUCCAGGCACCCCCUCAACUCAGGAGGUCUUGUGGUAUGGUCGCUAUCUCCAAAGAUGGCCGCCAUCAAUUCCUUCCCUUCCUUUAUAUACAUGCCCAAUCAGCUAGCAAGAAGUGGAGUCUAUACUCCUAUACUCCACCCCCUAGAAUCUGAGCUAGCCUGUGACUGCUUAACUAACAGCAUGUGGUGGAAGUGACUCUGUGCCAGUCCUGGGCCUGUCCUUUAAGAGGAUUGGCAGCUUCCCCUUCCUCCCUUCCUCCCUGUUGGCACCCAGCCUCCAUGCCGUGAGGAAGCCCAGGCAGCCACACAGAGGAGAAGCAAAGCCCUCAGCCAGCAAUCCCCACUGACCACGCAGCCAUCAGCCAGUGCCAGCUUGCCAGCCAGCAAUAGGUGACUGAAAUACUGGGUGAGCUCUCCAGCGAGUGUCAUGGAAGCCUUUCCUGCUCAGCUGGGGAUGAAGCUGAUGACACCCCCUUUCCUUCCCACGUGGGUACAUGGAGGACUCAGCAUGGCAACAGAUCUCUCCAAGGAAGACUCUUCACACGUCAUCCCCUCUCCCCACGCUCUAACUGAUUUUCAGAUCCCUGAUCUGCCUGAGGCGUCCAAGAGACAUAGAACCAGUUCUUAAAACUCCUUUGUCAAUUCAAGAUGUUUGAGAAUUCUGUCUCACACUCACUUGGAGGCCUAAUAUUGUUCAUAUUAAUUUCUCGGCUAAAGCUAAGGCCCAAAGAACCUCAUCUUGAGGUCCUGGGGCACCGAGUCCAGGCCUGGCUGGGGCAUACACUGACCCCUGAGAGCCUUCAGGCAGGUGGGUGGUGCCAAGCAGUGAGUUUUUCAAAUUUCUUUUAGCCAGAAAGUCCUGACAGAAUCUUAUUUGAAGGCCCAAACCAGUUGAAAGCCACGUUAUAGUUGAAGAGGGAGUGAGAGGUCUGAGCUGGGCCAGGGCCCCCCCAUCCUUGCCCCGAUAGUGCCCCUAACGUGACAUAAAUGGCCUGGGUUCUGCAGAGCACAACUGGAACACCGCUGUAUACGGCGAUGAGCUCGAGCUUGGGAGCAGCUUGAACUUCUCUGCAUCUCAGCUUCUUCACUGUAAGAUGCGGGAGACAACACUACAUACCUCACAGGU
Molecule: long non-coding RNA, 9078 nt
Organism: Equus quagga
Lineage: Eukaryota; Metazoa; Chordata; Mammalia; Perissodactyla; Equidae
Exons: 4
Source: RefSeq, a predicted model, not a curated record